This 227-nucleotide long non-coding RNA is filed under the name Homo sapiens (human). Its description in RNAcentral is "LHRI_LNC532.1". Lineage: Eukaryota; Metazoa; Chordata; Mammalia; Primates; Hominidae. The record is from RNAcentral.
AUCUAGGAUUGGAAUAUGAGCUUUUAUACAAUUCAUAUUCUUAUUUGGCAAAUGCACAGUUUAGUAUUACCUCUCUGAUGGCCUUUACUAGAAAGGCAGUUUUAGAAGCUAUUGUGAUCCACUAAGGAAAUGUUUUAACAGCUAGAGACCACUGCUUGCCUGAAAGGGCGUUCUUAAAUUUGGUGCAUCAAAAAAAAAAAAAAAUUAAACAACAACAUUUGAAGGCC